This 2396-nucleotide long non-coding RNA is filed under the name Volvox carteri. RNAcentral describes it as "long non-coding RNA (VCAR_LNC003031)". Lineage: Eukaryota; Viridiplantae; Chlorophyta; Chlorophyceae; Chlamydomonadales; Volvocaceae. The record is from RNAcentral.
GUGCUGACUGGAAAGCGGGAUGGGGACUUGUAUCCCGUCUGCUACAGCAGUGGAGGUACGGGAGCUCUGAAGUGGACGCAGCGUGAAGACAACAGGAUACCUUCUGGUGGUGAUGCAGUGUGUGCUGCCGUGGGUAUCGGAGCUGAACGUGCAGCACUUUGGCACCGAAGGUAUGGCCACUUAGGAUACAGCAACCUUGAGGCGUUGCUGCGUCAUGAUAUGGUAACUGGGUUCGAUGUUGACCGACACAGCAUACAAUCAGCCAGCGUGUGUGUGUGUGAGACUUGCGUCCUUGCAAAGCAUACACGUGGUCCUUUUCCGUUAACUGGGCAUAAGGCAGCGCAGCCUCUCGCGCUCAUUCACAUGGAUGUGUGUGGACCUAUGCCUGAACCUUAGUGGUUCGCGUUACGUGACAACUCUGCUUGACGACCAUACUGGUCUUUCAGCUGUUGCGUUUACAGCGACCAAGGAGGAGGUCUACCAGAAGAUGGUGGUAAUGAUAGCGGGACUGGAGCACGCUACUGGCAGGCAGGUUAAGGAGGUGUUGAGGAAACGGUCCUCUCCCAACUCGUGUGGUUGUCGACCAGGGGAUUUGACCCCGGGUCUGCGCCUGACUAUUGGGGAAGACUUACCCCAGAACCUUAUGGGGCUACCAAUGCAUAUCCGGUAGGUAAGUGAUAGACAUUAGGGCACCGUCUGGACGGCGCAGUGAGAUCGCGGAAUGUACGUGCAGUUAGAUCGCGGAAUGUACGAGUUUUCCGCUAGCGCCGGUAUUUAGGGCGGUGACUGCGCCUAUUAGUUUAUCUCACAACGAUCGGUAUUCCUACCAGGAAUCUCCUCAAGUCCUGCCGAACGCUAACAAUACUCUUUACAUUACUUGUAACAAUUUAUCGUGCUAAAUAUCUUCGCCACCGGCAAUCCUUCCGGAAUAACAAUUAGCGUUAGCUGUCACCGUCGCCAAUUCUUCAAUAGGUUAUGAGCCCCGAUUAGCGCCGACAGUUAUCGCCCAAUUGUUAUUUCUAUCCCUCAUCAACAAUGGUUAAGGACAAGCUUGAUGAGUCGCUGGAUCUCAACAACUACUCUACCUGGCAAAUUGGGUUCAGCGCGUUGUGCAUGGAGCUUGGGCUUGAGCAAUCCCUGCUCGCCGAGCCGUGCAUCGAGGAGCAAAUUCGACAGUCACGGAAGGUCAUCAAUCUGCUCAUCAAGAACGUCAAGGAUCAUCAUUUGCCGAUGGUUACCGGUGCUGCCAACGCGAAGAAGGCCUGGGACGCCUUGGGAUCUAUGUUUGCUGCCAACAACAACGCCCGCAAGGUGUCUCUACGUCAAGAAUUCAGCCGUUUUAAGAUGGUCGACGGCGAACCUCUUCCGAUGUACUUUGCGCGUGCAAGGCAGCUGCAAACAGAUUUAUUGGGAGUCGGCCACGUAGUUAACGACUCCGAGCUGGCGUACACCGUGCUAGUUGGUCUACCCAGUCGGUACAGCAUGGUGACGACUACAUUACUUAUGCGCGACGGCGAUUUGGACAUGGCGAACGUCACAGCAAAGCUUCUCUCUAUCGAGACGGCUAACGGUGGGUCGGGCAAGCCUACCGAGUCGGCAGCCUUCGCGUCUGUCGGCGGUUCGACGUUCGGCGCUUCUACUUCUGGUUAUGGUAGCCGGGGGCCGGCUAACAACAGCUCGGGACAUAGUCGGAAGCAAGUCAUCUGCUACUACUGUAAUAAACCUGGGCACGUGGUUAAGGACUGCAGGCAGCUUAAGGCGCUGAAGCAGUCGUCAAAUUCUGGCUACAAGGGUGGCUACAGCAACAGUGGUAACGGAGGUAGUGGCAGCGGAGCUAGCGGCAGCAAGCCAGGAUCCGGUNNNNNNNNNNNNNNNNNNNNNNNNNNNNNNNNNNNNNNNNNNNNNNNNNNNNNNNNNNNNNNNNNNNNNNNNNNNNNNNNNNNNNNNNNNNNNNNNNNNNNNNNNNNNNNNNNNNAUAAACAGGCCAUCACUUUCAAGAAGGUCUACGUCGACGAGGAGGCCACCGCCAAAAUCAUAUCGGUCCGCAUCAUUGAUGAUCGUGGAGGCAGUGUGGUCUUCGGCGGCGGACAGGCGAAAGUAUACGUACAGAACCAGUUGGUGCUGACUGGAAAGCGGGAUGGGGACUUGUAUCCCGUCUGCUACAGCAGUGGAGGUACGGGAGCUCUGAAGUGGACGCAGCGUGAAGACAACAGGAUACCUUCUGGUGGUGAUGCAGUGUGUGCUGCCGUGGGUAUCGGAGCUGAACGUGCAGCACUUUGGCACCGAAGGUAUGGCCACUUAGGAUACAGCAACCUUGAGGCGUUGCUGCGUCAUGAUAUGGUAACUGGGUUCGAUGUUGACCGACACAGCAUACAAUCAGCCAGCGUGUGUGUGUG